This 562-nucleotide ribosomal RNA is filed under the name uncultured Pseudozyma. Its description in RNAcentral is "eukaryotic LSU rRNA". It matches the Rfam family "Eukaryotic large subunit ribosomal RNA", at positions 112 to 656 of the family's 3401-position model. The record is from RNAcentral. Lineage: Eukaryota; Fungi; Basidiomycota; Ustilaginomycetes; Ustilaginales; Ustilaginaceae.
GAUUGAAAGCUGGCGCCUUCGGCGUCCGCAUUGUAAUCUCAAGAAGUGUUUUCCGUUUCGGACCAUGCCUAAGUCCCUUGGAAAAGGGCAUCAUAGAGGGUGAUAAUCCCGUACAUGGCAUGGAGCGCCCGAAGCUUUGUGAUACGCUUUCUAAGAGUCGAGUUGUUUGGGAAUGCAGCUCAAAAUGGGUGGUAAAUGCCAUCUAAGGCUAAAUAUUGGGGAGAGACCGAUAGCGAACAAGUACAGUGAUGGAAAGAUGAAAAGAACUUUGAAAAGAGAGUUAAACAGUACGUGAAAUUGCCAAAAGGGAAGGGUAGGAGGUCAGAGAUGCGUCGCAGGAUUCAGCCUUGCUUUUGCUUGGUGUUUUUCCUGCGUUGCAGGCCAACGUCGGUUUUGGGCACUGGAGAAGGGUAGGAGGAACGUGGCACCUCUCGGGGUGUGUUAUAGCCUCCUACUGGAUACAGCGACCGAGACCGAGGAACGCAGCGUACUCGUAAGAGCGGGCCUUUUGGCACCUUUACGCUUAGGGCGUUGGCAUAAUGGCCCUCUACCACCCGUCUUG